GAUGAACGCUGGCGGCGUGCUUAACACAUGCAAGUCGAACGUGAGGGUGUAGCAAUAUGCCUGAAAGUGGCGAACGGGUGAGUAACACGUAGAUGACCUGCCCUGGAGUGGGGGAUAACCACUGGAAACGGUGGCUAAUACCGCAUACAUCUAUUGACUUGGGAAAGUGAAUAGGGAAAGCUCUGGUGCUCUGGGAGGGGUCUGCGUCCGAUUAGCUAGUUGGUGAGGUAAAGGCUCACCAAGGCGACGAUCGGUAGCUGGUCUGAGAGGACGAUCAGCCACACGGGAACUGAGACACGGUCCCGACUCCUACGGGGGGCAGCAGUGAGGAAUAUUGGGCAAUGGGCGAGAGCCUGACCCAGCAACGCCGCGUGGAGGAAGACGGCCUUCGGGUUGUAAACUCCUUUUGACAGGGAAGAGAGAGGACGGUACCUGUCGAAUAAGUCACGGCUAACUACGUG
Molecule: ribosomal RNA, 461 nt
Filed under: uncultured organism
Description: bacterial SSU rRNA
Rfam family: Bacterial small subunit ribosomal RNA
Source: RNAcentral